Long non-coding RNA from Polistes dominula (European paper wasp), 756 nucleotides. Lineage: Eukaryota; Metazoa; Arthropoda; Insecta; Hymenoptera; Vespidae. The record is from RefSeq and is a predicted model, not a curated record.
UUUGCUAGUCACCAUUAUCGUGAACGCCACUGUGGUCAAUUGAUCAACUACAAUGUCAAAUCUGUUUUACCAUCAAAUUAUCUCAUUGUCAAGGUAACAGGAAGUUGACGCCGACGGAGGCGGGAACGUCAGACGUCGCGAUGCACCUGUGACGUGCAAAUCGCCGUUGGUGGAGCGGCGUUAAGCCGUUUUCCUCCGAAAAAAAAAAUAUCAAAAGAAACAAAAGAAAAAAAACACAUAACGUUGAUUGAGAGAGAAGAUAAGCGUUUUGAUAAACCCCCUAUAAAACGGCAACACACCACACGUUUAUAUCGUCUCUGUUGCAAGGUUUGCUUUUAUUCAGGGGCUUGUAGACAUAAUGAAAUUCUCUCACGAAACGCAUAUAUUUGAAGCAACGUGCGUGUUUCUUGUAUCUAGUCGUUGGAUAUUUCGUUAAGUCGCUUAGAUGAUAUACGCAAGAAUGAUCGAAGAUAAACAGAAAAAUAUUACAAAGUGUGUAUAUAUGUUCUUUAUCCUAUUCGACGUAUAUCAAUAUUAGAUUUAUCGAACUAUUUUUCUUUUCUUUUCUUUUCUUUUUUCUUUUUGAAGUGAACAUUUCUUUAGAAUCAGGGUGAUUUGAAAGAUUGUGAAAUGGAAGAACGUCAAACUGAUGAAACAAAAAUAAUUAAUUAAUUAAUAAAAUUCAGUGUCACAAUAUGUUUGUCAACUAAUAGUUUCGAAACUACUCAAACUUAUUUUCAUGAAAUUGAUUUUAUU